AAGGGUAUAGCUUAGUGGUAGAGUACAUGCUUAGCAUGCACGAGACCUUGGGUUCAAUCCUUAGUACCUCCA
RNAcentral lists this transfer RNA (72 nucleotides) under Camelus ferus (Wild Bactrian camel). It matches the Rfam family "tRNA". Rfam says of the family: Transfer RNA (tRNA) molecules are approximately 80 nucleotides in length. The record is from Rfam by way of RNAcentral. Lineage: Eukaryota; Metazoa; Chordata; Mammalia; Artiodactyla; Camelidae.